UAGAUGGAUGAUAGAGACAGACAUAGAGAGAAGGAGGGAGGAAAAGGGAUGGAAGGAAGCAGUAGGAAACAGAGGAAGACUGAAACAAAGCCCUUCAAGUCUCCCAACUCAGAAUUUGUUUGAGGACUUUUGUGGAAAACAAUCUCCAGUCAUUUACCAUGGUGUCUUGGGAGUUGGCCCAAUGACCUGAUACUUGAGUGGGUCCCAUAGAAACCUGCCUUCCCUGGGGCAGCAUGGAAACCCAAGUGUGUGAAAGCUCAUUGCCUGAGAAGUUCUCUCCAUCCUCUGUGAAACUUCUGAUUUAAAAGUGUCAUUGAGAAUUUAUGCAACUGUUUCUCAUUAUUUCCAAAACUGAGAAUAAUUGCCUGGCUGGGUCCUUACUUGACCACUUUUCUCCUAAAAAGCCUUCGAAUUUCUUAUCGUUUUGUCGGUCCCUCCGAGUCAAGAUCAUGCCAAUGUGCUGUUUCCCACAUUCACUCUGAAAACACUUCAAAGAUCAGUGCCAAUUCCUUUUUUAAAAUCCUGAUUCACUAGAGCUCUUUCUUAACUUCUCCCCUGGCUGUCAGGGGACUGACUGGCGCUUGCCUAGACUGGAAAGUCUUCAAGGCUUCCUCCCACUACUUUGCUAACCAGGGUGAUGUUCGAUUGUUCAGGAGAAGUGAGCAAUGGAAUAUUUCACUAACCCCUCCGCCCAAACCAUUCCUGAAGGAUAAACUCUGAGUUAGCCACAGGCGUUCAUUCAGGUGACACCCAAUCCCCAAUUACCCGAUUAACUAGACUCUUGGAGGUUAAUAUGCACUUGAAGGGCAUCUGCUUCCUCCCCAGGUCUCUUUCUUUCUCUUGAGAAACUCCCCACCCCCUUCAUCAAGAGUAAGCAUUGUAGGGCGUGGUAGCACAUGCCUGUAGUUCUAGCAUGGAGAGGUAGGCACAAAGAUGAAGAGUUCAAAGCCAGCCUGGGCUCCACGAAGUCUUGUCACAAAACAAAACAUAAGCGUGCUGUUCACAUCCUCACUAGGAGAGCUAGCGAUUCAAACUUCCAAACCGGACCUUUCUUCCCAACUCUAAAUCACAUCUACUUGGUAUGAGUUCUCCUUUUCAGCCUCGACUAUUAGCAACGACUUCCGCACAGCUCGGUGGAGUUGGUUUCCUGGCGUGCAAUAUGAGAUACUUUCUUCCUUACGAAUGAAGGCCUGACAAGGUAAACGCCCGGACGCAUAAUUUCCAGAGAUAGAAACUGGUCUUGUGAAGAGAUACAAGGCUGAGCCCGGGCCAAUGGAUGUGCCGUGCUGUGGGAUUCUGUUAUUGUAAAAAUUAAUUUCCUUUUCUUCUUCAGAUCUAAUUUGGAUUUUUUUCCUUUUAUCAGUCACUCUUGUCAGCCUCUCAUCAGACUAAAAAUACCGCUCUCACCUGGGUGUGCUGCCGGUGGGUGUGAACACACAGACAUAUAUUUAAUUUUUUCGGAUGUUUCUGCCCCCAUUUCCCCAUAGAUUUUUCUAGGGUAGCAACUAGUUUAUGCAAAUGUCACCAAGCAAUGUUCAACCCAUAUUAUUUUCUCUGUCAUGCCUCAGAUGCUAACGCGUGUUCUUUACUCCCUUCCUGUGGGCUCUACUUGUUUUACAUACUAUCUUGCCAAUAUGUUAUUUAAGAAGAAAACAAUAAACACUUUCAUGUGUCCCCGAGGCCCAGCCCUUCACUGUCACUUCCUUGUGUCAUCCAAUCCAGUAUCCAGUUACAGCUUGCUCUGGCCGACCACAGGACCCCUGCACCUGAGGCUGUCUGUGGUCCAUGGCAGGUUGGCUUCAUCCUGGUCCGCUCUGCUUAGCAGUUAAGUGUCAGGGUAAUGCCUCCUUCUCAGCUGAGUUGUUACUGAUGCCUAAGACCAAGGCUGUCGGACGCUCUCUGGUAGCCUUUACCUUACAGUACAAAUUAUAAUAGACACUAAACAUUGGUAAGUAAUUACCCCUUGUGAGUGGCAUGAACAAGGUAGACACCUGCUUUAUUACUGGAUAUACUCCAGGGAUGUUCCCAGAGUGGGGUGGUGGAGGCAGGGGUGGCCCAGAUACCUGAGAGUGAAGGAGUGGGAGUUUGUCCGGGUACUCAUUCUUUCUCUCCCUUCUCACGUACUUCCAAGUCUUACUCAGUUGAUGGAGGUGGGUCUUGUAAUAAUAAAGAAACUGCCUUGGCCCAUUUUAUUGGAUAGAAAAUUAGGUAGGCGGAGUAGACAGAGGAGAAUGCUGGGAAAAAGAAGCUGUGUGAGGAGUCGCCAUGGUUCUCCCGCUCCAGACAGACGCAGGUUAAGAUCCUCUCUGGUAAGCCAGCUCAUGGGCUACACAGAAUAUUAGAAAUGGGUUAGAACAAUAUGUAAGAGCUAGCCAAUAAGAAACUGGACCUAGCCGGGCCAGGCAGUGUUUGAAAGAAUACAGUUUCCGUGUAAUUAUUUCUGGGUAUAAACUAGCCAUGCGGGCGGCCGGGUGCCGGGGACGCAGCCCUGCCGCUCCUAUUUCAACAGAUGGCGCCCAAACGUGAUGGGCUAAAUCCACUUAAAAACCUGAGAGGGCUUAAAAAGGAGAGAGAGAGAAUUUAAGACAGCUUUUUGCUGUUUCUGGGUUGCGUGCCGCAAAGAAAUUGUCCUGACUCGGCAGCAGGAAAAAACUGGCUGUUUUAAAAUGCCGGCUUUCUGGGCUGUGCCGCCAUUGUGAUCUCUGUCUGGCUCCGGCGGGAGACAGAGCUUAUGAAUGGAGCAUUUGGAUUAAAGUGCUACGAUUUGUUUGAUGGCAACUAGACUGCUGUGUGCCUAAAAGGGGGACAUUGUGUGCCGCAGCUCAGAGGCACAAGCAGCUCCGCCAUGCUAAUGGUGCAAUGUGCAAGGAUCAGAGGCACGAGCGGCUCCGCCAUGUUGGACUGGGCGGGGCCAGCAUACAGUACCUGUUUUUGACCUAGGAAUGUCACAGCUUAGAUUCUUAAGCGCUUAGUGAUUUAAAGGCGCAAAACAAAGUGCUCCUGGAUAGUAAAAAAGUUACAGAUUCACAAUAAAACAGAUUCAGACACUGUUGGAUAAAUGUACGUAGGCUUGGGAAAGAGAAGAAAAAGAAUAUAAAGAAUAAAGUUAAUGUCUUAAAAAGAAAAAGGGUAAAGUCUUUAAAGAGACAGAGUACAGAAGUACAGAUAGUUAUAGAUUAAGAGAAAUAAAGAAAAAUAAGCCACGUAAAAAUGGAAAAUUCACAGAGAGUCUGGAUUAUGUACAUUGUGUUUUCUUUAAAAUUUUUGACUGUGAAGGAGCUAAGUACAGAGAGACAUUUCAUUAUAUGGGCUGCCAAGCUAAACCAAAAUGGAUUUCAUGAGGGUAUUAUGAUUUCAGAAUUUGGGUCUAAGGAUAUGAUGCUUUGGAGAGGGUCUUCUUUUGUUUUUGCAGAGGAUGAGACCCUGUGGAUUGCAUCUAUUCCGAUUUGGUAUGAUAGACCACGCCCUCCUGAAAGGUUGCUGUGAACACCCUCAAAAAAUUACUUCACUCAACUGCCAACUGAGAUGAACCUGGCCCACAGGUUACACCCUAAACGAUCUGAUUAACAGCACCCCUAUUCAGCAGGAAGCAGUUUGGAGAGAAAAAACUACGCCCAUGUUCCCAUAUAUUGUUUAUAAAUGUUCUUUUACAUUUAAAGGGGGAUAUGAUAUAGAUAUGAAUAAUUUGCAUUGGUAUGGAUUUUAAGGUCAAUUUUGUUAUAUGUAUAUGUAUUUUUGAUCUUGAUUAAGGUAUUGUGAUUGUGUAGUUCAUUUUAAAAUGUAAUGUAUAAGUAGGAAAUAUAGGUUGUUAAUGGAUAAUAGUCAAGCUUUUAGUCAUGUUAGUUAGAUUUUCUAGAUAUAUAGAGAUAUCUUUCAGUUAGAUAGGCAUUCUUCAUAUCUUUCAAAGACUGCAGAAUAUGGCAUUUUAAAUGUUUUAAUAACUUAGGGCUUUUCAUGACAAGGAGACACGUCUGCUCCUGGCAGCACCAGCUACUUCAAAAAGAAGAUGGGCAUCGAAGAGGAUCCUUAUGGAGUUUGAUAGCCAUUUGGGCAAGAAACUGUUCUUGCCUGGACUGUUGCAUAAACUGUUCACAGAGAACCCGCAGAGAGAGGACUGCUGAACUUGCCUAAAGAUGAGAUGGUCUUUCAGGGUUCCUGAUUCAUGAAAGAGUCUGCGAGACAUUCUGCAGGACACAGCAGAAAAUGACUGA
Alexandromys fortis (reed vole) is the source of this 4211-nucleotide long non-coding RNA. RefSeq lists it as uncharacterized. Lineage: Eukaryota; Metazoa; Chordata; Mammalia; Rodentia; Cricetidae. The record is from RefSeq and is a predicted model, not a curated record. The transcript has 3 exons.